AACGAACACUGGCGGCAGGCUUAACACAUGCAAGUCGAACGCCCGUAGCAAUACGGGAGUGGCGGACGGGUGAGUAACGCGUGGGAACGUGCCCUAAGGUACGGAAUAACUGCGGGAAACUGCAGCUAAUAUCGUAUGUGCCCGAAAGGGGAAAGAUUUAUCGCCUUAGGAGCGGCCCGCGUCGGAUUAGCUAGUUGGUGGGGUAACGGCCUACCAAGGCUUCGAUCCGUAGCUGGUCUGAGAGGACGAUCAGCCACACUGGGACUGAGACACGGCCCAGACUCCUACGGGAGGCAGCAGUGGGGAAUCUUGCGCAAUGGGGGAAACCCUGACGCAGCCAUGCCGCGUGAACGAUGAAGGCCUUAGGGUUGUAAAGUUCUUUUGCCCGUGACGAUGAUGACGGUAACGGGAGAAUAAGCUCCGGCUAACUUCGUGCCAGCCGCCGCGGUAA
Molecule: ribosomal RNA, 451 nt
Filed under: uncultured bacterium
Lineage: Bacteria
Description: partial 16S ribosomal RNA
Rfam family: Bacterial small subunit ribosomal RNA
Source: RNAcentral